GAUGAACGCUGGCGGCGUGCCUAAUACAUGCAAGUCGAGCGAACGGACGAGAAGCUUGCUUCUCUGAUGUUAGCGGCGGACGGGGGAGUAACACGUGGAUAACCUACCUAUAAGACUGGGAUAACUUCGGGAAACCGGAGCUAAUACCGGAUGAUAUUUUGAACCGCAUGGUUCAAAAGUGAAAGACGGUCUUGCUGUCACUUAUAGAUGGAUCCGCGCUGCAUUAGCUAGUUGGUAAGGUAACGGCUUACCAAGGCAACGAUGCAUAGCCGACCUGAGAGGGUGUUCGGCCACACUGGAACUGAGACACGGUCCAGACUCCUACGGGAGGCAGCAGUAGGGAAUCUUCCGCAAUGGGCGAAAGCCUGACGGAGCAACGCCGCGUGAGUGAUGAAGGUCUUCGGAUCGUAAAACUCUGUUAUUAGGGAAGAACAUAUGUGUAAGUAACUGUGCACAUCUUGACGGUACCUAAUCAGAAAGCCACGGCUAACUACGU
RNAcentral lists this ribosomal RNA (496 nucleotides) under uncultured bacterium. RNAcentral's name for it is "partial 16S ribosomal RNA". It matches the Rfam family "Bacterial small subunit ribosomal RNA", at positions 28 to 506 of the family's 1533-position model. The record is from RNAcentral.